CUUUUUCACACCCCCAAUCAGAAAUAUGUUGGAAGGGGCAGGCAGCACAAGCCAUUUCUGUACUACUCUCUGCACCACCGGUGUUGGUGCAGAACGACUUCCAUGCUUCAUCAAAUCCACUUCCUAAGCCUUUAAUAAUCUCCCUCACCAGCUCCCAUUUAGUCUUGAAUCCCGGCUGUAGAGGCAUUUUAAAUAUACUUCAGCCAAAGCGAGAGUUUCACAGAUGAAGUUUGCAAGUGGUUUUGCUGUGACAUGGGUGGGAAAUUGUCCAUCUCUGAGGUAGAAGGGGAUGAGCCACAAAACUAGAUGAUACCACAUAUUUCUGAUUGGUCUGUCUGUUUGGUCUGUUUCUUACAUAGUCUUGGGGUAAGAAAAAGGGGUCUUGUUUCUUAUGCCCCUGCUCUUGGGGAGGUUGGUCAUCAGCCUGGCAUUUCUCAGUUCUCCAGGUGGCACAGGGGCUUCUCAGUCCACAUUGAAAGCGCAAGUUAAAUUGGAUCUGUCAAGAUAUAUUAUAGUACAAACUUUUUCUAGAACUGGCAUUUAAAAAUCAUACACUGCUCCUUGGGUGGUGGCCUACUGGGACAAAAAUAGGUGAUGUCAUGUCACUUUCUCAAUUCAAUGCAAUUUCUACUUUUUCUUUUUACAGGAAAUGUUUUCAUAAAACUUUUUUCCAUCAAAAUCUAGGGUGUUUAUUGCAAUAUCCUCAUGGCCCUUGAGGUGCCAAGUCAGAGGCUUGCCUCCCCUUGCCUCGGGUGUUCUCAGGCUUCCCAAGGGCUGUUUUUGAGUCGACAGUCUGCAUCUUUUGUGCUUUGGAGAAAAUGUCACUGAGGUUGCCCUUCUCCUGAGAACUCCCCCUUGUCCCACUUUGGGGAUGGUGGCUGGAAAACAGGCUUUUCUGUUUGUCUGGCUCAAAUCUAGCCAGAAAAGGCCACAAACUCUUCCCUUUUCUAACACAAACUAAUGAUUGGCCAGUGGUCUUGGUGACAAGUUUUUAAGUCCCAAAUAGUUUUAUUUGAAUUAUGUAAAAGUAUCAAAUUUAUUUUAAAUGUAAACCAUGGGAACAACAGACUUCCACUGAGCGAUAUGAAAACGUUACAGGUUCAGUACUUCCAAAGGAAGAAACCUCCAACCCCCAAAAAGAAUACGAAUUUGUAUUUUUGAAGAAUGUGAAAUAAUGGUGUUUGCUUAAUUGCUCAUUUUGUAUAAACUUAAUGUUGUACUUUAAGAUAUCUGCUAUGAAGUGAAAAUUUAACUUUUUGGAAUUGAAAAAAGCAAUAUUAAAUACUAAUGAAAUCUUAAUUAAAUGCUUAUUUAAAUCUGGU
Molecule: long non-coding RNA, 1322 nt
Filed under: Rattus norvegicus (Norway rat)
Lineage: Eukaryota; Metazoa; Chordata; Mammalia; Rodentia; Muridae
Description: long non-coding RNA NONRATT022608
Source: RNAcentral